Long non-coding RNA from Esox lucius (northern pike), 2510 nucleotides. The record is from Ensembl. Lineage: Eukaryota; Metazoa; Chordata; Actinopteri; Esociformes; Esocidae.
GAGAAAGGAAGUGAGUGAAAUUCAGGCGUGUCUCUGUGAUUUAGGUAUAAAGAGUGCUGAGUGUGUAGUCAGGGUCCAGUACAUCAGUAUGGAGAAAGUUGUGUGGCUACUGGCUCUUCUGUGUCUGCAGGUCUGUCUGCUCUCCACAGAGGCCCAACCUGGAACAGACAGACUGACAGCUGCCCAAACCAACCAAGACAUGGAUUCAAGGAUUAAAAGAGGGGGGAAUAACCAGAGUAAAUGCCAGACGAAUCCAAACAUAAGAUGUCGCAACCGCAUUGGAGCGAAAGGUCCUUUGUCAGACCCAGGAGAUUCUCCAGUACUUCCUCCUCAUCAACCUCGUCCAUUUCCUUCAACUCUGGAGUCAAGGAUUAAAAGAGAUGUGAGUGUCCAGAGUGAACGCCAGAAGAAGCUUAACAAACCACGUCCCAACCACCCAGGAUCGACGAGUGCUUUGGGAUUCAUUCCUUCCCCUUCUUUUCAUCUUCCUUGGCCGUUUCCUCCAACUCAGGUCUGUCUGCUCUCCACAGAGGCCCAACCUGGAACAGACAGACUGACAGCUGCCCAAACCAACCAAGACAUGGAUUCAAGGAUUAAAAGAGGGGGGAAUAACCAGAGUAAAUGCCAGAAGAAGCCAAACAUAAGAUGUCGCAACCGCAUUGGAGCGAAUGGUGCUUUGGGAGAAGGACCCCCAGGACCCAACAUCAAUAUUAGUAAAAAAUAAUCAGUACAGCUUACAUGGAAAUACGAAUAAAGGCACCAUUUCACUUUUGCCAUAUUGGGGUCAAUCUAAGAAAUGCCACUAUAUGUCAAGUUGAAUAAUAUCACAAAGGGGAUUUUUUUCACUGCUGUUAUAGGAAGUAUCACUGCCUUCUUCUCACAAAUGAUCCAUAACUAUAAAACAAAAUAAAGGUUGGUUGAACUCAAUGGCGGGUCAUUUUGAUCUUAAGACAGUGGGAGGGUUAAAUAUCCUGAUGAAUAUUAAUCAAUGUUUUUGUGCAUGUCAAGUGAAUCUGGAUAUGUAAGUUCAGAAGGUUUGUAACUUCAGAAGUUCAUUUCUCCAUGACUAUUUUGUGACAACUAUAACAAUGCAGUUGUUACAUUGUGUAAUAUCCUGUGUAUAAAAAUUGUUAUGUGAUGAAAGACAAAACAAACUCCUUAUCUGGUUGGAAUGAACAAUUCUGAUGCAAGCCUGGCAACAUUGCACCAUGGUGUUGAUGAAGUCAUUGAUACACACUGCUCAAAUAAAUGAAGGGAGCUCUGAAAUCACACACCGGGUCUCAAUGAAGGAAAUGGAUUAAACAUCAAAUUCUUUACUGUACAUUGUGUAAUUCAUUGAGAACAAAAUGACCUAACAACGGUCAUUGGAGACCAAAAUCACCAACUGAUUGAGGGCUGGAUUCAAAUUCGCACUGAACAUGGAAGAGAACAUUAGAAAUCACAGGCUGUUCCUGUCAGCACUGAAAGGAACCCAAAUGCAGACCGGAUGAGUGAAGUGCAAAUUCGAGGGCAGGAGUAGGUGCAGGGCAGUCGUGGGCAAGCAGAGGUUCGGUACACGGGCUGGCGGCAGAGGUACAGGCAGGCAGUAGGCAGAGUAGUAGUGGAUGGGCAGGAGGUCGAUACUCGAGCUGGCGGCAGAGGUACAGGCAGGGGGUAAGGCUGAGUAGUCGUAGGCAGGCAGGAGGUCGAUACACGAGGUGGGGAUGGUCUUCAGGUGGGCUCCUAAAGUCACAGGAAGACAAGGUAAGUACAGACUGACUAGUGAAGCAUAUAUCUGGAUUUCGUUUGGCUGGGGCAACGUGACACAUACGAAUGAGGAUCUGGCAGGGACGGGUCGUCAUGGUUCCUCAGAAAUACAGCCGGUGGUGAGCCAAGCGGGAACAGGUGCGUGAUAGGUAAUAGGGAACAGCUGGCACCGCCUCUACUCCAAGGAGUGAUGCCACGCCCCCUAAUUCAUUGCCCCGACAACCGGGAGAAACCAAAACAAGGCACCUCAAGGGGGGGAGGAGGUGACAGUCCCUACACACGCUGGCCACAUGAGGACGGGCAUUGUCCCACACCAGCAGGAACACAGGACCCACUGCACCAGUGUAAGUUCUGACAGUGAGUCUGAUGAUUUCAUCCCGGUACCUAAAAGCAGUCAAGGGACUGUUGGCCAACAUGUGGAGGUCUGUUCAACCCUCCAAGGACAUGUCUCCCCAGACCAUCACUGAUCCACCACCCAACCGGUCGUGCUGGAUGAUGUGUAGAGGUAUUUUCAUAAAAUAUUUUUUUACUCCAGGAAUCACACACUUGAUAAAACAUGUAAACAGGUCACUUGGGCCUGAGGGCCAAUAGGCCAAUACAGUCAGAUUUUUCCACAUUUAAUAGUUGAGAAAGAGAGGCUGACGUACAAUAACCUGCACAGUUUAGAUUUCUCUGUCCGUGAAGAUCAACAGCUGUGCUCUGUCUUUCCCCUUACUGUACUCUUGAGACUAAUGAGCAACAAUAUUAUAUUUCUUGUGGACGAC